Molecule: long non-coding RNA, 242 nt
Filed under: Capsicum annuum
Lineage: Eukaryota; Viridiplantae; Streptophyta; Magnoliopsida; Solanales; Solanaceae
Description: long non-coding RNA (CANN_LNC003750)
Source: RNAcentral
AAAGUCUCUGAGUUUUCCCAAUUCGAAGACUAGCUCCUAGUUUAGUUUAUAACACACUGAAACUAAUAUUACAUCAAUAGUUCAAACACAAUGAACAACUCUAAAAAUCAACGCUAAAACUCUUAGCUGGAUUCUGUACUGAGGACCAGGUUCUUCAACGUGUUUCUUCAGUGAUUGAGUAGCACUUCAUAAAGUCAAUCUGUCGAUUGUGCUUUUCUGUUUUUUAAGUGCGUGAAUUAUUC